UUUAAACUCAAGAUAGACACAAAUUGCUGGAGUAACUCAGCGUGACAGGCAGCAUCUCUGGAGGAAAGGAAUGGGUGCCAUUUCGGGUCGACACUCUUCUUCAAACUCGUCUGGGGAGAAGGGAUUCGAG
Long non-coding RNA from Amblyraja radiata (thorny skate), 130 nucleotides. RefSeq lists it as uncharacterized. The record is from RefSeq and is a predicted model, not a curated record. Lineage: Eukaryota; Metazoa; Chordata; Chondrichthyes; Rajiformes; Rajidae. The transcript has 3 exons.